GCUCCCGUAGCUUAAUGGACAAAGUGGCGGUUUCCGGAACCGUUGAUGCCAGUUCGAUUCUGACCGGGAGCA
This 72-nucleotide transfer RNA is filed under the name Candidatus Woesebacteria bacterium RIFCSPHIGHO2_01_FULL_38_9. RNAcentral describes it as "tRNA-Arg". It matches the Rfam family "tRNA". From Rfam's summary of the family: Transfer RNA (tRNA) molecules are approximately 80 nucleotides in length. Their secondary structure includes four short double-helical elements and three loops (D, anti-codon, and T loops). Further hydrogen bonds mediate the characteristic L-shaped molecular structure. tRNAs have two regions of fundamental functional importance: the anti-codon, which is responsible for specific mRNA codon recognition, and the 3' end, to which the tRNAs corresponding amino acid is attached (by aminoacyl-tRNA synthetases). tRNAs cope with the degeneracy of the genetic code in two manners: having more than one tRNA (with a specific anti-codon) for a particular amino acid; and 'wobble' base-pairing, i.e. permitting non-standard base-pairing at the 3rd anti-codon position. The record is from RNAcentral. Lineage: Bacteria; Candidatus Woeseibacteriota. RNAcentral also lists the same sequence under 1 other name.